AAUAUUCAAAUUGUGUAAUCCACAUAGUAUCUGGCCAGUUUAUAUUUUUUUCCUGACAAAUAACUACCGUUGGUCAUCUAAAACUUCAUAAAUGUUCAACAAACCUAAGACAGAUAUUGGGGGAUGUGGAGACCAUUGUUAGAUUAGUUUGCCUAGAUUAGAAUGAUGACAAUCUGUGUGUGAAAGGAGGCAAGACAGUAGGAUAGCCCAGUAGUGCUUCUUGGAGAAAAAGCACAUUUCUUUCUAUAUCAAAUGGUCAUAGAACUAAACAAAUAAGUCUGCCCAUUCUUACUUCCUACCCCUAGCAUUUGAAUUUGAAAACCAAGAGUUCUUGUUUAGACUCUUGUCUAGA
This 352-nucleotide long non-coding RNA is filed under the name Bos taurus (domestic cattle). RNAcentral describes it as "long non-coding RNA NONBTAT023643". Lineage: Eukaryota; Metazoa; Chordata; Mammalia; Artiodactyla; Bovidae. The record is from RNAcentral.